GCUCAGGGGGCCACCUUCCUCAGGUGGGGCACAUACCGACUCACCUGAGUCGCACCAGCAAGCGAGUGUAUCCACAAGCCAGUCUAUAGCUCCUGUUUGUGUAGGCCAUCCUGAGCCAGAGGCUCCUGGGACGACUACCCUGAGGGGGUGAGAAGGCCCCUCCUGAGCGGGGACUCUGGUUUUCCUGAUGUGACAGCCGGCACACCUCCCCUCUGGCAGGUCGCUGAGCCGAUCCUCAUCUGUUGCUUCCUUCCUGUGACAGAGCCCAGCUGGACCUGGGGCCCAAGCUCUGCCCCUGGGAUCUGUCCUGCGGCACCUGGUGAGUCUGACGGAAGAACGCAGACAGCUGCCUCCCCUUCUUCUAUUCGAAUCCCAUCCAACUGUGUCAGCGUCCCAGUUCCCAGGCUCCCCUGGAGGCAAGGGUCUGGGGGAGACUGUUUCACCUCCGAACUUACUUACCCAUCUGUGGAGGCAAAAACCUGGAGUUCAAGCCACCCCCUGGUUCCGUCCUUCUGAUGAGAACUAUCAGCAAAAAUUCAGACAAAGGCAGCUCUACAGCUGUUUGUGGCCCUGGGACCCCAGCAUUCUGUGUGUAAACAUGUUCCCCUCGAAAUAACAGAUGGUUUGUGCAAAGAGGUUUCUGGCAAGGUGAUUAAGAGCAGAGGUGGGCACUCUGCCUUGAAUGCUGAGCGGACAGGACUCUGCCCUUCAUAGCUCUCUCCCAUUUGGCCAGGUUCACUGCUUUGAGAGUGUCCCCCCACCCCCCGUUACGAUCUCUUAUCAUUACCGGUACCUGUGGGGCAAGAGGACCAGGAGAAUGAUCAUCCCCAUUUCUCCCAUGAAGAAACCAAGGCCAAGGUUAUAUACAGCUUAUUGAAGUCCAGGGCCCAACUCCACCCCUCCUGACCCUUAAUCUAGUGGUCUUUUCACCAACCCAGGCCCCAUGUAUGAACAAAUUAGCAAUUAAAAAGCAUGGGCACGCGAGGCCUGGGAAUGUACCUGUGAAUGAACACCAAGGAGAUCAGUCAGACCAGGAGAUGGGCGACAGGGCAGGGGCCUGCAUGUAAACCCUGCAAAUGAAACUCCUAAAUGCUGAGAAAUGAUUGGACCUCGUCCCACUGGGGGCCCCUUUUCUUCCAGGCGCUUCUGUGAAAACCACUUUAAGGAGCAGAAAACCAUAAUUACUACUUGGGAUGACAGAACACUUAAGGGACGUGUCCAAGUGCUGAGGGUGGGCUCACGCAGCCAGAAAAAGCAAAUUCAAUGUCAUAAUUCCCUAUUUGGGGAACUAGAAUUAAGUACCUGUUGUUUUUGUAAUUCAGACCGCAGCAAGAGAAGCCUGGCCUAACCUCCGUGGCUGGGAAAGGCCCAUCAGAGCGCAGUGAAUUCUUAAGCAGGGAGAGCUCCCACUGCCAGGGGGGGAGCGGGUGUUUGCAGGACACCCAGGGCCUGAGACUGGAGAGGUUUGGAGGUUUAAAUAGGUUAAGAAAUUCUGGAAAUUAAAUGCCCUUUAAGGCUCUCUGAAUUCUGCCAGUCUGUGUAACAUUCUCUUGAUGAUUAUCGAUCGUGGGAAGAGAAUUUCCAGUAUGAUGUGAAGUCAGAAUCUCAUGCUCAUUUUAAGACACCCCUGCCUCCCCCACCUGCCCACCAUACAAACACAAAGGGCUGGAGAUGGCCAACUUUAGACUGAUUGGUUAACCCUGGUUCAGGCUGCAGAACCGUAACAGCCGCAGGCCAUAGUCAACGCCCCUCCCUGAUGCUCCAGCACCUAUAGAUUUAGGAAUGGUUUGCUGUGAUCUUGGCUGGGUAGCUCAGUUCGUUGGAACAUUGUCCAGAUGCCACAAGGUUGUUGGUUUGAUCCUCAGUCAGGGCACACACAAGACUCAACCAUGAAUACCUAAAUAAGUGGAACAACAAAUUCGUGUUUCUCCUUCACUCUCUGUGGACCUUGCCUACUCACUCCUUCCUUUACUUAUUAGGACUCAGCAUAACUGUUCCUAAUAACUUUUUCUCCAGUGUUUUAACAUCCAGAUCUCCCCUGGAGUAUGAACUGCGUGAGGGUGGGUACCGGGUCUUUCUCACACGGGGCAGUGCAGUGCCUGGCACCUGGUGGAUCCUGCUGAGCGUGUGCUGAGGGGGUGCGUCCUCCCCUGCCCCGGCCUCUCUGUUGGGCGGACCAGCCACGCCUCAAGCUCUGAGAGCAGGCGGCAAACAUUCAAAGCUGAUGCUCUGGACAAAUGUUUAGGCCACGGCCUGUGGCCCUGCCCCCGGCACUCGUUCCUCCUCCUUUGUCUUCUUCCACAGGCGCCUUGGGCCCUUUGACUCCCCGCCCUACCCCGUCCCCUUGGCCCCUCUCAGGCCAUAGCACUGUCCAGGCUCUGCUGUCCCCAUGGCAGCUGACGUGCCUUUUCUACCCCUGGCCUUUUUUCCACUUCCCCAGAAGAGGGACAGUGUCGGGGUGACUUUCCUCCCAAGUCCCUCCAGCUGCCAUGGAUGAAAGUAAACAUGACUGAGACAUGAUGUGACCUGCUUGGGGAGGAGAAGUGGCCAUUUUCCCAGAGGAAAAAGGCCGUGAGCAGUGACCAGUUUCUCAAGGGAAAAAGGCGUUGAGCUCCCUCCUCCAGCGGCUUUUAUUGGGUUGUAAUACACAGGAAUACGGGGCAGCAAGGAUCAAAGAGUAGAUAACAUUUCAAAGAAAUCUGAGGGCUUAGUUUGAGUCAGAGUCUGUCAAGAACAGAGUUUUAGGGUUGCUUGCUCGAACCCUUACCUUAUGAAUGAAAGCACUCUUAGCAGAGCAGAUUUCACAGGUUUAUCAGGAAGUCUUUGUGAUGCCAGAUUUUCCCCCAGAACACACUCUAGCAAGGCAAGGAGCUGCACCUCUCUCCAUCAGGUAUUCAGGCUUUAAGGGGAUUAGAGCCAGGAAGCGCUUCUCCCAGAGAACAUGGGGAAUUGGGCUAUGUCAAAGCUGGGGGGCGAGAGUCCAUUGCUCUCUGUUGCAGCCCUGCCCCACCCCCCAGUCCUUCCAUGAAGGCCUCCCAAGUGAUAGAGUCUGGCUUAGGUUGCCCCCGCUGUGAGGGGUCUUACCCAUCAUUGACGUCCGACCAAACUUUGGGGGCAGGGAGAGGAACUGAGGCAGUGUUUGCUUCUGUUGAGAUCUGGAAAAUUGAGAACAUAGCCUGACCACAGCAAAGCAGGAACAAGGAGCAGCAUGCAAACAAAGGCUGAGCAGACAUCCUGCAGUGUGUGAGUGCCCUACUUAGAGUGAGAUAGGCAGAUUGUAAUCUGUUUAAUUUUGAAUUUUGAAACCCCACCCUGUUCCCGCCCGUGGUCUCUGUCAGCAAAUAGCUAACUGCCACGUCUGCUUCUGUUCAACGCUUGUUUGCGCGUCCCUAUAUAAGGACUUAGCUGUAAGCACUCGGCGCCGUUCUCAUCUGCAGCCCUUUUGGGCACUGUGUCUCCAGACACCCUGAGAGUUCGCCCCUGGGCAGGUUAAGCUUGGCCAAUAAAAUAAGAUCAAAACCCUGAAAGAUGUUCGAAAAUUAUGCUUGCGUCCGAUGAAUAUAACACUACCAAAGACAGGCUUUGC
Artibeus jamaicensis (Jamaican fruit-eating bat) is the source of this 3586-nucleotide long non-coding RNA. RefSeq lists it as uncharacterized. Lineage: Eukaryota; Metazoa; Chordata; Mammalia; Chiroptera; Phyllostomidae. The transcript has 3 exons. The record is from RefSeq and is a predicted model, not a curated record.